CCUACGGGCGACUGCAGUGGGGAAUAUUGGACAAUGGGGGGAACCCUGAUCCAGCCAUGCCGCGUGUGUGAAGAAGGCCCUCGGGUUGUAAAGCACUUUCAGUGAGGAAGAACGCCUGGUGGUUAAUACCCAUCAGGAAAGACAUCACUCACAGAAGAAGCACCGGCUAACUCCGUGCCAGCAGCCGCGGUAAUACGGAGGGUGCGAGCGUUAAUCGGAAUUACUGGGCGUAAAGCGCGCGUAGGUGGCUUGAUAAGCCGGUUGUGAAAGCCCCGGGCUCAACCUGGGAACGGCAUCCGGAACUGUCAAGCUAGAGUGCAGGAGAGGAAGGUAGAAUUCCCGGUGUAGCGGUGAAAUGCGUAGAGAUCGGGAGGAAUACCAGUGGCGAAGGCGGCCUUCUGGACUGACACUGACACUGAGGUGCGAAAGCGUGGGUAGCAAACAGGAUUAGAUACCCGUGUAGUC
This 465-nucleotide ribosomal RNA is filed under the name Vreelandella stevensii. RNAcentral's name for it is "partial 16S ribosomal RNA". It matches the Rfam family "Bacterial small subunit ribosomal RNA", at positions 338 to 795 of the family's 1533-position model. The record is from RNAcentral. Lineage: Bacteria; Pseudomonadati; Pseudomonadota; Gammaproteobacteria; Oceanospirillales; Halomonadaceae.